This 384-nucleotide long non-coding RNA is filed under the name Apteryx owenii (little spotted kiwi). RNAcentral describes it as "lncRNA (ENSAOWG00000007244.1)". The record is from RNAcentral. Lineage: Eukaryota; Metazoa; Chordata; Aves; Apterygiformes; Apterygidae.
AUGGAAAGCCCGGCCAGACAGGGAGACGUCACGUCAUAUCCCCGAGCCUUUCCUGUCCAGCAGCCUUGGGUCCCUCCGGAUGCACAUCAUGCCCAUGAGCCUCUGGUGUCAGAGCCUUUGACAAGGAAACUUUCAGCCCUCUGCACACCGGGAACACGUGCCCCAGGCGUGCUGCUGCCUGGCAGUGACGCCGGGGAGAAACAGCCACCAAGUCCCAGGAAAGCCUCCAGUGGCAAUCUUGGGCUCUCCUCUCCACGGACAUGUCCUUGGAGCCCGACUUUAGGGAGAAAGAAUAAGUUCUGCAGUAUCCAUUUGCUAGUCCUUCUUGGCCCGACCAGAAGCGUUGCUGUUUGCUGCAGCUCCCUCAAAGCCAGCCAAGCGUAA